UACUGGAAUUUGUGGACCGAAGGAGCAAUCUGGAAGUUUGUAGAAACCGGCAUUUGCUAGUGGCAGACUGGUGAGUAACACGUGGGUAAUCUACCUUUUUCACGGUCAUAACUCUGAGAAAUUGGAGCUAAUAGCCGAUAGCAUUAGGUGACAUACGUUACUAUAAUUAAAGGAUUUGAUGCAAAUCAAAUUGGAAAAAGAUGAGCCCGCGUUCUAUCAGCUAGUUGGUGGGGUAAAAGCCUACCAAGGCUAUGACGGAUAGCCGGCCUGAAAGGGCGAUCGGCCUCAUUGGCACUGCGACACGGGCCAGACUCCUACGGGAGGCAGCAGUGGGGAAUUUUGGACAAUGGACGAAAGUCUGAUCCAGCAAUACCGCGUGAGGGAUGAAGGUCUUCGGAUUGUAAACCUCUUUUAAAAGAUGAUGAAUUCCGGGUUUACCCGGAAGGACAGUAAUCUAGGAAAAAGUCACGGCUAACUACGUGCCAGCAGCCGCGGUAAUACGUAGGUGGCAAGCGUUAUUCGGAAUUACUAGGCGUGAAGCACAGGUAGGUGGUCAGGUAAGUUGAAAGUGAAAGCCCCUGCUAAAUCGGGGGAGGUCUUUCAAAACUAUCUGACUUGAGUGUAGGAGGGGAAAUUGGAAUUCCUGGUGUAGCGGUGAAAUGCGUAGAUAUCAGGAGGAACACCAAAGGCGAAAGCAGAUUUCUAUCCUAUUACUGACACUGAUCUGUGAAGGCGCGGGGAGCAAACAGGAUUAGAUACCCUGGUAGUCCGCGCGGUAAACGAUGCUCACUUGGUAUAGGAGGCAUCAACUCCUUCUGUGCCGAAGCUAACGCGUUAAGUGAGCCGCCUGGGGAGUACGGCCGCAAGGUUGAAACUCAAAGGAAUUGACGGGGGCCCGCACAAGCGGUGGAGCAUGUGGUUUAAUUCGACACAACGCGAGGAACCUUACCCAGGCUUGAAAAGCUGGUUGUAUAUCGACGAAAGAUCGGUAGACCCGUAAGGGAGCCAGUAGAGGUGCUGCAUGGUUGUCGUCAGCUCGUGCCGUGAGGUGUAUGGUUAAGUCCCAUAACGAGCGCAACCCCUGUUCCAUGUUGCUAUCCCACUUCGGUGGGAGCACUCUUGGAAGACCGCCCUGGUUAACGGGGAGGAAGGCGGGGACGACGUCAAAUCAUCAUGGCCUUUAUGUCUGGGGCAACACACGUGCUACAAUGGUUACUACAAAGGGACGCUAAUCCGCAAGGUGGAGCAAAUCCCUAAAAAGUAACCCCAGUUCGGAUCGAGGGCUGCAACUCGCCCUCGUGAAGCCGGAAUCGCUAGUAAUCGCUGAUCAGCAGGCAGCGGUGAAUACGUUCCCGGGCCUUGUACACACCGCCCGUCACACCAUGGAAGCUGGUUGCAAUAGAAGCCUUGUUUCGGCAGGGUUAAGUUGUGAUUGGUGACUGGGGUGAAGUCGUAACAAGGUAGGCGUACGAGAACGUGC
RNAcentral lists this ribosomal RNA (1480 nucleotides) under metagenome. Its description in RNAcentral is "bacterial SSU rRNA". It matches the Rfam family "Bacterial small subunit ribosomal RNA". The record is from RNAcentral.